This 301-nucleotide ribosomal RNA is filed under the name uncultured bacterium. Its description in RNAcentral is "partial 16S ribosomal RNA". It matches the Rfam family "Bacterial small subunit ribosomal RNA", at positions 509 to 809 of the family's 1533-position model. The record is from RNAcentral.
CAGCCGCCGCGGGAAUACGUAGGUGGCAAGCGUUGUCCGGAAUUAUUGGGCGUAAAGCGCGCGCAGGCGGAUAGGUCAGUCUGUCUUAAAAGUUCGGGGCUUAACCCCGUGAUGGGAUGGAAACUGCCAAUCUAGAGUAUCGGAGAGGAAAGUGGAAUUCCUAGUGUAGCGGUGAAAUGCGUAGAUAUUAGGAAGAACACCAGUGGCGAAGGCGACUUUCUGGACGAAAACUGACGCUGAGGCGCGAGAGCCAGGGGAGCGAACGGGAUUAGAUACCCCCGUAGUCCCUGUCUCUUAUACA